Molecule: long non-coding RNA, 261 nt
Filed under: Ailuropoda melanoleuca (giant panda)
Lineage: Eukaryota; Metazoa; Chordata; Mammalia; Carnivora; Ursidae
Description: lncRNA (ENSAMEG00000026319.1)
Source: RNAcentral
AUGCAAUACAUCCCAGACUGCUACAUAAAACACAGGCACAUGAAGCUGUCACCUAAGCCCAACUGUACCAACCGAAGUCUACCAGCCUGCAAUGAAGAUGUCUUCCCUGGCCUCCGAGAGACAAAACAAGGCCCAGUUUUUGUACAUAGAAGGCCAGCCAGGUUCUCUGAGGACUAUGGAAAGAGGAAAGAGAAACUAGGAGCAUUUCCUUUAAACCCACGUUUGAUUUCUUCACAGAGUUAUCGUGGCCUUCAGAACUGA